Molecule: ribosomal RNA, 196 nt
Filed under: uncultured Vibrio sp.
Lineage: Bacteria; Pseudomonadati; Pseudomonadota; Gammaproteobacteria; Vibrionales; Vibrionaceae
Description: partial 16S ribosomal RNA
Rfam family: Bacterial small subunit ribosomal RNA
Source: RNAcentral
ACUCUUACGGGGGGCAGCAGUGGGGAAUAUUGCACAAUGGGCGCAAGCCUGAUGCAGCCAUGCCGCGUGUAUGAAGAAGGCCUUCGGGUUGUAAAGUACUUUCAGCAGUGAGGAAGGGGUGUAUGUUGAUAACGUGCAUCUUUGACGUUAGCUGCAGAAGAAGCACCGGCUAACUCCGUGCCAGCAGCCGCGGUAA